This 253-nucleotide ribosomal RNA is filed under the name uncultured bacterium. RNAcentral's name for it is "partial 16S ribosomal RNA". It matches the Rfam family "Bacterial small subunit ribosomal RNA", at positions 524 to 776 of the family's 1533-position model. The record is from RNAcentral.
UACAGAGGGGGCGAGCGUUGUUCGGAAUUACUGGGCGUAAAGGGCGCGUAGGCGGCCCGCUAAGUCGAACGUGAAAUCCCCAGGCUCAACCUGUGAACUGCGUCCGAUACUGGCAGGCUUGAAUCCGGGAGAGGGAUGUGGAAUUCCAGGUGUAGCGGUGAAAUGCGUAGAUAUCUGGAGGAACACCGGUGGCGAAGGCGGCAUCCUGGACCAAUACUGACGCUGAGGAGCGAAAGCCAGGGGAGCAAACGGG